AGCAGCCGCGGUAAUUCCAGCUCCAAUAGCGUAUAUUAAAGUUGUUGCAGUUAAAAAGCUCGUAGUUGAAUUUCGGGAUCAGUUGAUCGGUCGUGCCUCGGUACGUACUGGUCAAAUUGAUUCCUACCUUCUGACGAACCACGAUGUCAUUAAUUUGAUGUCGCGGGAAAUCAGGACUGUUACUUUGAAAAAAUUAGAGUGUUUAAAGCAGGCUCGCGCUUGAAUACAUUAGCAUGGAAUAAUGAAAUAGGACGUUUGAUUCUAUUUUGUUGGUUUCUAGGAUCGACGUAAUGAUUAAUAGGGAUAGUUGGGGGCAUUAGUAUUCAAUUGUCAGAGGUGAAAUCCUUGGAUUUAUUGAAGACUAACUACUGCGAAAGCAUUUGCCAAGGAUGUUUUCAUUAAUCAAGAACGAAAGUUAGGGGAUCGAAGACGAUCAGAUACCGUCGUAGU
RNAcentral lists this ribosomal RNA (450 nucleotides) under uncultured Glomus. Its description in RNAcentral is "SSU rRNA". It matches the Rfam family "Eukaryotic small subunit ribosomal RNA", at positions 569 to 1024 of the family's 1831-position model. The record is from RNAcentral. Lineage: Eukaryota; Fungi; Glomeromycota; Glomeromycetes; Glomerales; Glomeraceae.